Long non-coding RNA from Prionailurus viverrinus (fishing cat), 746 nucleotides. RefSeq lists it as uncharacterized. The record is from RefSeq and is a predicted model, not a curated record. The transcript has 3 exons. Lineage: Eukaryota; Metazoa; Chordata; Mammalia; Carnivora; Felidae.
UCGCCGGUUUUAAUAGCGACACCCCGCCCCUCGAGGCGUCACCCCGGUGGUUGGGUCGCUCCCCGCUGCGGCACGCGUGGGGGCGGUGGAGGCCGGAAGCCGGGAAUGCAGGUGACGGCCGAGCGGGGUAGCUGACAUCUCAACUUAAGGAGGCACCUAGAUGCCGGGACCAUGGAUGGCCUUCCUCCUAGGAAUGCUGGGAAUCCUUUCCUUCCUGAGGAGCCAGGCCUGGACACCCACACACCGUGAUGGUUUCAGCAAAGCAGCCCAGCAUGAGUUCUGACUCAGGGGUCUGACUUCCCCCCACAGGAACGGGAGUCUGUUCCCCUAGCCCUUGAAUCUGGGCUCACCUUGUGACUCACUUUGACCGACAGAACAUGGCAGAAGUGAUGUCGUGGUCCUUCAGAGGCCUUGAGCCUCUGCCUUCAUCCCCUCGCGCUGCCCUGAGUCUGUUAUGUAAGGGAAUUUACCAGCAGAGGAGGCCGCGUGGAGAACCGAGGAGUUCCAGCCAAUAGCCAUCUGAUCUCCCCACUCAGCGGACCUGCCAGCUGGAUCCAGCCACGUGAGUGAGCCCAGGUGAAAACAGAGAAAACAGCCAAGCUAAUUUUGGGGGUGAAUUGUGUGUGUCAAUGGAUAACUGAUAGGGUUUCCUAUUGCCCUUUGGAUGAAAAGAAUAUUCCAAAGUGCCCUAUGAGGUCCUGUAUGCCCUGAACCCACCCAUGUCUCUCAGCUGGCUUCCAUUCUCU